Molecule: long non-coding RNA, 2163 nt
Organism: Canis lupus familiaris (dog)
Lineage: Eukaryota; Metazoa; Chordata; Mammalia; Carnivora; Canidae
Exons: 4
Source: RefSeq, a predicted model, not a curated record
GGCCUAUAGGAUUGGGAAUCUAGUGGGCUCUCAGGAAAUGCUUAUAGGAAAAAAAAGGAGAAAAAGAGUGAAGGAAAAAAAGAAGGAGGAAUGGUGGAGGUUAGGAGGAUGAGCUUUUAUCUGUUAGAAAAGAACAGUAUGAUGGUUAAUUUCAUGUCAACUUGGUUAGGCUUCGGUACCUAGAUGUUUGGUCAAACAUUACUCCAGAUGUUCCUAUGAAGGCAUUUUUAGAGAUGAGAUUAGCAUUUAAAUCAGUAGACUGUGAGUAAAACAGAUUACCUGCCACAAUGUGGGUGGGCCUCAUCAAAUCAGUUGAAGGUCUUAAUUAAAAAAGACCAACCACCACCUAGUGAGAGAGAAUUCUGACAAGAGGCUGCCUUUGGAGUCGAACUGCAGUGUCAACUCUCCGGGGUCUCUCCUCCUGUUGUACUGCCUUUUCUCUCCCAGCCUGCACCCAUGCCCUCAUGGACAGUUCCGUGUGAUCACCUGGAAGAAGAGAACACAUGUGUCUUGUGUACAACAGUUCUGCGUGAUACGUAGCCACUCCUCAAAAGUGGACAGCUGCAACACUGCAGCGCCUUUCUGGAACAUCUGUGAAGGGCAGCGGUGACAUGAAAUACUCUCAGGGGGCAGAACUUGGAGCAAUGUACCUGAUUGGUCAUUUGCUUGGAAGGAGAAAUGUCCAGACAUGCAAUUAGAUAUGGAUUCAUGGUCUGUGGCCAUGUGAGGUCUGUGGUUUGACUUGGAGGGGUUAUGAUUGGAAAAUUGGUGAAAAUUGUCUCUGGGGAAGAAGUAUGUGGACAGACCACUCUGAAUAGGUAAAAAAUGUUAGAAUGUCUAUGUCCCCUAUGAGUGCUCACCAAAAGGGGACCCUCGCAAGAAUUUUAAUUAUAGAGUGGGUAGGACAGCCAGCUCUGUGGAUACUAUUCAGUCUCUUUCUUCAAGCCAGUCCUGUCAUUGACCAAUGGGUUCAUGAACAAAAUGGCUGGGAUGGCAGGGAUGGACAUCAUGCACGGGUUCAGCAACAAGGACUUUCAGUCACCAAGGUCAGGCUGGCUGUAGCCACUGCUAAGUGUCCAGUCUUCUGGCAGCAGAGACCAACACUGAGCCCCUGGUAUAGCAUCACACCCAAGGUCAUUAACCAGAUACCUGGUUGAUUAUGUUGGGCUGCUUCCAUCAUGGAAGGGGCAGUAGUCUUCUGUCUACAGCAAUGACUCCACUGAACUGGAAGUUAGGACUGCCAUCCAGACAUUUUGGCCUCCUCCUGCUUCUGAUCAACAGGCAAAGGAGUCCUAUGCUGAAUGGAGUGAUUAUUCCUGGUUACCAAGGGGAAAUUGGCCUGCCGCCCCACAGUGUAGAACCCAAUGGCUCCUUCUCAGAUGAACUCAUUUACUGGCUUGACACAGCCCAGCUUGGCCUGAAUUCCCUGGCUUCCGGACGCUUGGCCCAGCUGACUACCAACAACUGUGGAGCUUCCAUCCUUGGCUUGCAGACCUGAAAACAGCCAGAAAUGCCAUUUAAGCCCUUGGCAUCUCAGAAGCAAAGGGAUGGUCUCAAGCCUAAGAAUGUCUGCUUAAAUAGGAUCCCAUCUACUAACAACUUCCUGAGAAGCCAUUGGGCUUCCCUCUUCCUUUGAGGCAGAAGUUGGCAUGCAGGAGGUUGGUCUUGAGAUGAACACCUGAGGGAGAAAGAGAAGAUAGAAGAUUGGGAAGAAGAGAAGCUGAGCUACAGCACUCCAAGGCGUCAGUUAACCCUGCCGGGAGCUCUGGAGUGGCAAUGGCCCUUCAGAGUUGUUCUGCAUUGGGGCCUUGGGGUUGGGCUUCUGUACCAUGGUGACGAACUGUUGGUUGUGGAUGCCUUGGCAAAGGAGCAUGACCUUGGGUGAGAUUCUCUUCAGCCUCUGUUGUUCAAUCAGGGCAUCGUGGCAAGCAGCCAGCACAAACAGCAGAUCAGUUUGGGAGGCGUGUCAUUGACCAUCGUUAUGCUCUGUGGAGACACAAGUCUUGAGUUGGCCAUUAGAGGCGGCCUCUUUUACCCAAGUGGUCCCAUCUUUCUUUGCUGUGCUCAUAGGUGCUAAUCUUUCAAUCUUGAGCCCAAAAUACUUAGCCCCAUUGAGUUCAUGGCUUAUGGAGUAAUUUAUAUGCCCAAAUACAAGGCGAUGUG